UAGAAAGUGGAUAAAACUCACUUCCCCUGUUUUAGAGCACCAAAAUUCUCUUUAACAAUGGCUUCUUCAUCAUCAUACAAAAAAUUCGAGACGCGAAAACGAGAUCCAGAUCCAAAAUCCGCUGUUCUAUUGGUGAUUGAUAUGCAGAACUACUUCUACUCCAUGGGUAAACCGAUUCUACCAGCAAUCAAAACCACAAUCGAUCUCUGCCGGCGGAAUUCCGUGCCGGUGAUAUUCAC
This 239-nucleotide unclassified non-coding RNA is filed under the name Hevea brasiliensis (rubber tree). Lineage: Eukaryota; Viridiplantae; Streptophyta; Magnoliopsida; Malpighiales; Euphorbiaceae. The record is from RNAcentral.